This is a non-coding RNA of Camellia sinensis, 2128 nucleotides long. Lineage: Eukaryota; Viridiplantae; Streptophyta; Magnoliopsida; Ericales; Theaceae. The record is from RefSeq and is a predicted model, not a curated record.
UUUAAUCCUUGCAUUACAUAAAUUAUUGUUUGGUACAGUUCUUUCCACAAAAGUUUAUGCUGAAUUUGAUUUGUGUGACUUGGAUGUGUGCAGUUUGAUUCUCAUAUAUUAAUUGCGCCAGCUUUUGUACAAAAGUUAUUCGCAGAAGCCAGUACUGACUCUGCAAGAUGUCCAUACUUGGCAAAUCUUGAGAUUGAAAGGAGGAAAUUCUUGUUUGGAAAGGGAGAUGAUGACAAACUAAUCGAGGCUCUAAUGCAAUAUUUUUUCAGGUUUGAUUUGUUCAACAAAGAUUGGAUUCUACUCUCAUCUAUUCAUUUUAGGCCCUGAUUCUUGAAAUCCAGUGAUUAUUAAGGUAAAUGUUUUUCUUUUAUUUCAUUAGCAUAAGAAAUAUGAAUGAAAUUAUGGAAUUCAGAAUAUUUGAAUUGUUUAGUAUAUUUAAGUGAUUUACGGAUUAUAAUUUUAUAGUUUUUAUUUUAUUUUUUAUUUGUAUCUCAUAAUGCAUGCUAUCAACUUAUUAUGAUAUCUAACUUUUCGAGGGACUGCUCAUAUAACACCUAGCUUAUUGAUGAAUUCAACCUUAUAUGUUACUUCUGUUAGAUCGCCACUAAUCCCAAAAGGUCAAGUUGUGUGGAAAGAGGCCCAACAAUGCAUAUUGAGCUCUCCGACACCCUCGUCAUGUGCAAUCCCGUCUUGCAUGUGGAGAUGAAAACAUCCUAACAUGUGGAGAAACAAAAUGCCAACAAGGAAACAAAUGCAUAUAUAGAACUUGAACCUAAGACCUUUAUUAACCUGUGGUUUGACACCUUAUUAGACAAACACUAGUAGUCCAGAAAAUUUAAGACCUUAGGAAAGGGGCCCAACAAUCAUUACUUUGCUCUCCAAUACUGUCACUUGGAUUUAUCUUUGAAAAUGAAUUUUCAGUUAGCCUUGAUGCAUCACUACAGUAUGUACUAAGCAUUGUAGUCUAUCAUGGUUACUUGCACUUUUUUACCCCUUUAUGCCAUUUUCAAGUAUGGCUAGUCAGAGUGUUAAUGUAAAUCAUGUAUGAUGUAUCCACUUCCUACCGUGUCAUUUACAUGUAAGUUUGUGCACUUUUGUGUUAUUUCUUCCCUGAGAAAAACCUAAUUGGGUCUGUGAUGUGCAGGUCGCCAUGGAUCAUACCAAUUCAAAGAUUGGAACAGAUGUACCACCAAGCAGUACUCCAAACUGGACAAUUAACAUUUCAGAUGUGAGAAAAAUACUUACUAAAAGUGCACACUAGUCGGUGCUUAUAAGAAGUUCUUUUUAUUCAUAAACUGGACAUCAGUGUGAAUGUCUAAACCACUAGUUGGUGCUUAUAAGAACUGCUUUUUAUGAAUUGGGUAUCAGUGUGAAUGACUACACCUUUGUCUUCAAAUGCCUAUAUUCGGAUAUGUGUCCCCCUUAUGUCACCAAGAUGAUGAGCACAGAAUUUUGGACUUUGUUGAAGUGACUAAGAUUCUGUCUUGCGUGAAUCUAUUAUCUGCCAGUUUAACCAGUUUUGAUUUCUUUAAAUUUUGUUUUGCAAGUGGCAGGAGCCACGCCGCAUUCAAAAUUCAGUUAAUGCAAUUUGAAUAUUUCUUCUCCGUAAUCACAUUUUCUUAGUCAUUACAUGUACUUAGCUAUUCUUUUACUUUUUUUUUCUUUUUUUUUCAUAAGUAAGAACAGUUAAAGUCAGUAAUAUCUCACUAGCUACCUCUGAGAAGGAUAUUAAGGAAUUCUUCUCUUUUUCUGGUGAUAUCCAGUAUGUUGAAAUGCAAAGGGAUCCACAAUUGCUGAUCUUUCAGUCUCUAUUGCACGGGUUGAGAAUUACCAGCUGCCUCCUAUGCUCCUCCCCUAACCCCUGUUAUUUGCUAUAGGAAAGUACCAUCGGAAGAACAAAUCAAAGACCUGUUGCGCAAGAAGAACUUUGAGGAAGCCAUCUCCCUGGUGGAGGAGCUUCAAAGUGAAGGUGAAAUCACAAAGGAAAUGCUGUCCUUUGUUCAUGCUCAAGUGGGUUUCCUCUUGCUGUUUGACUUGCAUUUUGAGGAAGCAGUAAAUCACUUCUUGCUGUUAGAAACUAUGUAACCUUCUGAAAUAUUCCCAUUUAUCAUGCGAGACCCAAAUCGGU